Molecule: ribosomal RNA, 327 nt
Filed under: uncultured eukaryote
Lineage: Eukaryota
Description: partial 18S ribosomal RNA
Rfam family: Eukaryotic small subunit ribosomal RNA
Source: RNAcentral
CCCUUAGAUGCUCUGGGCCGCACGCGCGCUACACUGACGAAUGCAACGAGCUUAUAACCUUGGCCGAAAGGUCUGGGUAAUCUCCAAAUUUCGUCGUGAUGGGGAUAGAUUAUUGCAAUUAUUAAUCUUCAACGAGGAAUGCCUAGUAAGCGCAAGUCAUCAGCUUGCGUUGAUUACGUCCCUGCCCUUUGUACACACCGCCCGUCGCUCCUACCGAUUGAAUGGUCCGGUGAAGCGUUCGGACCGUGGCCUUUGGACGGUUCGCCGUCUGUUGGCUGCGGGAAGUUCGUUAAACCUUAUCAUUUAGAGGAAGGAGAAGUCGUAACA